CGGGUGAGUAACGCGUGAGGAACCUGCCUCAAAGAGGGGGACAACAGUUGGAAACGACUGCUAAUACCGCAUAAGCCCACAGGUCGGCAUCGACCAGAGGGAAAAGGAGCAAUCCGCUUUGAGAUGGCCUCGCGUCCGAUUAGCUAGUUGGUGAGGUAACAGCCCACCAAGGCAACGAUCGGUAGCCGGACUGAGAGGUUGAACGGCCACAUUGGGACUGAGACACGGCCCAG
RNAcentral lists this ribosomal RNA (233 nucleotides) under uncultured bacterium. Its description in RNAcentral is "partial 16S ribosomal RNA". It matches the Rfam family "Bacterial small subunit ribosomal RNA", at positions 103 to 334 of the family's 1533-position model. The record is from RNAcentral.